UACGAAGGGGGCUAGCGUUGCUCGGAAUGACUGGGCGUAAAGGGCGCGUAGGCGGACUGUACAGUCAGGUGUGAAAUUCCUGGGCUUAACCUGGGGGCUGCGCUUGAGACGUAGGGUCUAGAGUUCGGAAGAGGGUCGUGGAAUUCCCAGUGUAGAGGUGAAAUUCGUAGAUAUCGGGAGGAACACCAGUGGCGAAGGCGGCGAUCUGGGAAGAUACUGACGCUGAGGUGCGAAAGCGUGGGGAGCAAACAGG
This 253-nucleotide ribosomal RNA is filed under the name uncultured bacterium. RNAcentral describes it as "partial 16S ribosomal RNA". It matches the Rfam family "Bacterial small subunit ribosomal RNA", at positions 524 to 776 of the family's 1533-position model. The record is from RNAcentral.